This 74-nucleotide transfer RNA is filed under the name Vischeria punctata. RNAcentral describes it as "tRNA-Pro". It matches the Rfam family "tRNA". From Rfam's summary of the family: Transfer RNA (tRNA) molecules are approximately 80 nucleotides in length. Their secondary structure includes four short double-helical elements and three loops (D, anti-codon, and T loops). Lineage: Eukaryota; Eustigmatophyceae; Eustigmatales; Chlorobotryaceae. The record is from RNAcentral. RNAcentral also lists the same sequence under 1 other name.
CGGGAUGUAGCGCAGCUUGGUAGCGCAUCUGUUUUGGGAACAGAAAGUCGUGUGUUCAAAUCUCAUCAUCCCGA